ACUUUUUAGUCCCUGUGUAAUAAGAAAAAUCAAAUAAGUU
Molecule: unclassified non-coding RNA, 40 nt
Filed under: Hydra vulgaris (swiftwater hydra)
Lineage: Eukaryota; Metazoa; Cnidaria; Hydrozoa; Anthoathecata; Hydridae
Description: trans-spliced leader sequence SL-B
Source: RNAcentral